Molecule: ribosomal RNA, 253 nt
Filed under: uncultured bacterium
Lineage: Bacteria
Description: partial 16S ribosomal RNA
Rfam family: Bacterial small subunit ribosomal RNA
Source: RNAcentral
GACGUAGGAGGCGAGCGUUGUCCGGAUUCAUUGGGCGUAAAGAGCACGCAGGCGGUUUGGCAAGUCGGAUGUGAAAACCUGGGGCUUAACCCCGGGCCUGCAGUGGGUACGGGCAGACUAGAGUGCGGUAGGGGAGACUGGAAUUCCUGGUGUAGCGGUGAAAUGCGCAGAUAUCAGGAGGAACACCGGUGGCGAAGGCGGGUCUCUGGGCCGUAACUGACGCUGAGGAGCGAAAGCAUGGGGAGCGAACAGG